This is a long non-coding RNA of Panthera uncia (snow leopard), 5100 nucleotides long. RefSeq lists it as uncharacterized. The record is from RefSeq and is a predicted model, not a curated record. Lineage: Eukaryota; Metazoa; Chordata; Mammalia; Carnivora; Felidae. The transcript has 4 exons.
CGCAGCCGAGGGGGCGUGGCCUCCGGUCCCAACCAUCGCGCCGGGGGACGCCGGGCGGACUUCGCUGGGCGCCUCCAGGCUCUCCCGGAUCUCCGGCGGAGCGGGAGGCGUGUGGGGCCGAGACGGCCCCCCAGGAACCCCUCAUGAUCUAUGUAGCCGGGGCGCGGGUUAUUGUCGGAGCAACGCCUCCGCUUUCUUGGUCACCCCCCGGCCCAGGCUGGAAUGGGAGGACCCAGCGCGCCACGUGACCGAAUUCUGCGCGUCACGUGACGAGGAAGCAGCGCAGCGGCGCCUGGGGAAGGAGUAGCUCUGGCGGAGCUGCUAGUACCCGUGGCGUCGGGCUCUGAGGCGCGGAGGAUUGGAGCUGCUCGAAUUUUCCCCCUCAGUUACGCUAGUUGCGGGUGGUGUCCCGUGAUGGGGGGCAUGAGUCCUGUCUCACCAUGUCUGGCUGGCGGCGACCCAGGUGCCACGUGAUGGUCAUUUGAAGACAGGCCUGUCGGAUGUCAGCUUGCUUUUCUCCCUUAAGAGACGUUGCUCGCGGAAACUUCUGGGGCUCACUGGUGAUUCACCCGACGCGUUCCUUCGAACAGCUGUGUGGUGCUCCACUGUCACGGGCGUACGGCUGUUUCCGGUUUGGGGGCACACGACCGACGCUACGAAGGGACUGCACGGGAAGGCCACCCCCGCGGCACCUUGAGCCUCCCACUCCAUUCUGGAGAGGACACCCCAGGGGCCACACAAACUCCACACCUUCUCUGGGAGCCCUGCCUACGACCCUUCACCAUCCCACCCGUUGACCUUCCUCUUCGGCCCGGUGUUUGUCUUGUCACCCUACGUUAGUGACAUUUCUUAUUCACCCCGGCUUCCAGAUGGCUUCUGCGUCUUGCCUGAUGGUCUCUGUUCCGCCCUGUGCUGACUGUCGGGUGGUCCGUGAGACAGACUCGUACUGAAGGUUUGAAAGGGUGACAGCCAGGGCAGGGGCUAGGGGGAGGGAAGUGAGGCACUCCCCUUGGGCAUGACAUUUCAGGGGGUCCCCCAAAACUCAGUAAUCGAGAUAGAAACUAUUUUGGGCGCCUGGGUGGCUCAGUCGAUCAAGCGUCCCACUCUUGAUCUCGGCUCAGGUCACGAUCUCAUGGUUUGUGGGUUCGAGCCCCACGUUGGGCUGUGCAGUGACAGAGUGGAGCCUGCUUGGGAUUCUCUCUGCCCCUCCCCCACUUGUGCAUGCACACUCCCCACCCCGGCUCAAAAUAAGUAAAUAAACUUAAACGUGUUUUUAAAAAAGAUGGGAAAUAUUUUGCUGCAGUAUUUUAAAAAAAUCAAAAUGAAUGCAAAGAAAAAUCUAGGAUGAACAAGAUAUCAAAACGUAAAAUAAAUCCAGGAUCAGUUGUAAGACUUGACGUUAGCCAUCUGCAUUCUUAACAUUUUUUGCAAUCGCUCCUUCCACCAGAGAUUUCUCUCUGGCCGACCUGACCCUCGGGACCCCCAGACCCAACCCACAGGGGCCUUGCUGUAGAAAGUUCUUACUUUCUCUUAUUUCUGUUUAUUCGCAGACCCUCUCACCUCCUCUCUCCACCUCCCACACUCCCCUCAGCAGUGACAUACUUGAGGAAAGGCCGUAUUUUUCCUUAUUAUGUAAACAACUUAUUUGUCACAAGUAUCGUCUCUUCAACCUCUGCUCUGCCUCCUGGCUUUCUGAAACCAAGAUGGCUCUUCAAGGUGUUUUGUAAAUAAUAAGCCAUCUGCUACUUUAGCCACAAGAACAAGUGAUUUCCCAAGAUUAAAUUCUCAAGCAUGUUGCCUUUCCCACAAAUGUCUGUAAAUUGAGGGAAACAAAGAUUGACUCUCUUAAGAUUCAUACGUGGCCAAACCAUCCCCAGAGAACAGUUGGCUACAAUCAAGGGGUGUGUGUGUGUGUGUGUGUGUGUGUGUGUGUGUGUUUGAUGAAAGUAAGAGAAAGCAAGAUGGAUGUACACAGUUAACCCUACAAGACUCUGACAAGUAGAUAUUAUUACCCCUGUUUUAUAAACUAAGGCUCAAAGAGGGGAAGGGCUGUCCCGAAAGUCACACAAGUCACAAGCAGGUGAUCAAUGUUGCAACAGUCUCCGUUGCCUUAACUGGGGCUGCCCUUAGGGUGUGCAGGGUCUCACGCAAAUAACUCUUUGCGGGCCUCCUGCCUGUAUAAAUGGCUUGAUUGAUGUGGAGAAAGGGAACCCUCCUGCACUGUCUACGGCAGUGCAGACUGGUGCAGCCACUGUGAAAAACGGUAUGGAGGUUCCUCAAAAAGUUAACAAUAGAACUACCCUACGACCCAGCAAUUGCAGUGCGAGGUAUUUUACCUGUGGGUACAAAGAUGCUGAGUUGAGGGGUUAUAUGUGCUCUGAUGUUUAUAGCAGCAUUAUCAACAAUAGCCAAAUUAUGGAAAGAGCCCAAAUGUCCAUGGACUGACGAAUGGAUAGAGAAGAUGUACACGCGCGCGCGCGCGCGCGCACACACACACACACACACACGCACAGGAAUAUUACUCAGCCAUAAAAAAUGAACCUUGCCAUUUGCAACACAUGGAUGGAUCUAGAGUGUAUCAUGUUCAGCAAAAUGAGUCAGGUCAGAGAAAGACAAAUACCAAAUGAUUUCACUCAUUUGUGGAAUUUAGAAAACAAAACAGAUGCACACAGGGGAAAAAUAGAGAGUCAAAUCAUAAAACAGACUCUUAACUAUAGAGAACAAACGGAGGGUUGCUGGAGGGGUGGUGGGUGGGGGGAUGGGCUAAAUGGGGGAUGGGCAUUAAGGAGGGCGCUUGGGGUGAGCACUGGGUGUUGUAUGUAAGUGACGAAUCACUAAAUUCUACUCCUGAAACUAAUACUACACCAUGUGUUAACUAGACUUUAAAUAGAAACUCAAAAAAAUUUUUAAAAAAUGCAUUAUGGAAUUCACGGGUGCAUGGUGAUUUAUCAGUGGAGACACGGAGUACUGGUUAGUGAGGAGGUACUUACGUAUUUAUUUAUCGUGCAUCCACUGCACAAGGAGUGUGGCAUGAACAUUUGCUCCGGUGGCUUUCUGAGAAGGAGUGCUUAAGAGGUACAUUUUUUCUGAGAUCUUGCAUAUUUGAAAAUGUCUUUAUUCAACUCACAUUUGCUUGGUAAUUUGCCUAGGCCUAGAAUCCUGGAUGGGAAAUUAACCGCCCUCAGAAUUUUGAAACUAUUUUUGUGAGUGUAAGGAUAGACUAAUUUCCAUAACAAAGAAACCUCCGAAUACAGUGACUUAAACAUCCAACGAAUAGUCCACAUAUCACUUCUUUGUCUCUACUCUGUUUGAGGUUUCCUCAACUUCAUCUCUGCUUUUUUUCUAUUAAAUUAAAAAUAUUUCUGCCAGGGCACCUGGGUGGCUCAGUCGGGUGAGCCCCCAACUUCGACUCAGGUCAUGAUCUCACGGUUCGUGAGUUCGCGCCCUGCAUUGGGCUCACUGCUCUCAGUGCGGAGCCCGCUUCGGAUCCUCUGUCCAUCCCCCCGCCCCUCCCCCACUCGUGCACGCACAGGCACGCUCUCUCUCAAAAAUAAAUAAAACAUUUAAAAAUAAAUAAACACCUCAUUUAAAAAACCACUUCUGCUAUUGAAACUUUUCUGUCUUGUUCUUUGUUACUUUCAAAAAACAGUUGGCUCCACCAAAAGCAAUAAGAUAGUUAGGAAUAAUCCUAGCCAGAGAGGUGAAAGACCUAUACUCUGCAAACUAUAAACACUGAUGAAAGAAAUUGAAGGUGACACAAAGAAAUGGGAAGACAUCCCGUGCUCAUGGAUUGGAAGAAUAAAUAGUGUUGAAAUGACUAUAUUACCCAAAGCAAUCUAUACAUUUAAUGCAAUCCCUGUCAAAAUACCAACAGAAUUUUUCACGGAACUAGAACGAACAAUCCUAAAAUUUGUAUGGAACCACAGAAGACCCCGAAUGGCCCAAGCAAACUUGGAAAAGCAAAGCAAAGCUCGAGGCAUCAUAAUUUCAGACUUUAUAAGAUAUGUUACAAAGCUGUAGUAAUCAAAACAGUAUGGUGCUGGCAUAAAAAUAGACACACAGAUCAAUGGAGCAGAAUAAAAAGCCCAGAAAUGAACCCACGGCUAUGUGGCCAAUUAGUCUUUGACAAAGCAGGAAAGAAUAUCCAAUGGGAAAAAGACUGUCUCUUCAACAAACAAUGUUGGGAAAAUUGGAUAGCAACACGCAGAAGAGUGAAAUGGACCGCUUCCUUACACCACACACAAAAAUAAAUUAAAAAUGGAUUAAAGACCUAAAUGUGAGACCUGAAACCAUAAAAAUCCUAGAGGAGAACAUAGGCAGUAAUUUCUUUGAUAUUGGCUGUAGCAACUUCUUUCUAGGUAUGUCUCCUGAGGCAAGGGAAACAAAAGCAAAAAUAAACUAUUGGUACUGCAUCAAAAUAAAAGGCUGCACGGCAAAGGAAACGACAAGACUAAAAGGCAACCAAUGGAACGGGAGAAGAUAUUCGCAAGUGACAUAUCUGGUAAAGAAAUCGAUAAAGAACUUAUAAAACAACACCAAAAGGUGGAUAAUCCAAUUAAAAGAUGGGCAGAAGACAUGAAUAGGCAUUUUCCCAAAGACAUGUAGAUGGCCAACAGGCACAUGAAAAGAUGCCCAUCGUCACUCGUCAUCAAGGAAAUGCAAGUCAAAACUAUGAUGAAAUAUCACCUCACAUCUGUCAGAGUGGCUAAUACCAACAACACAAGAAACAACAGGUGUUGGCAAGGGUGUGGAGAAAGGGGAACGCUUCUGCACUGUUGGGGGGAAUGCAAACUGGUGCAGCCACUCUGGAAAACAGUAUGGAGGUUCCACAAAGAGUUAAAAAUAGAACUACCUUAGGAUUCAGUAAUUGCACUACUAGGUAUUUACCCAAAGAAUACAAAGAUACUAAUUCCAAGGGAUACAUGCACACUGAUGUUUAUAGCAGCACUAUCUACAAUUGUCAAACUAUGGAAACAGCUCAAAUGCUCAUCACCUGAUAAAUGGGUAAAGAUGUGGUGUGUGUAUGUGUGUGUAUAUAUAUACACACACAAGCACGUGCAUGCACACACACAUAUGCACACACACACACACGCACACACA